UAAGGAAUAUUGGUCAAUGGACGCAAGUCUGAACCAGCCAUGCCGCGUGGAGGAUGACGGCCCUCUGGGUUGUAAACUCCUUUUAUCUGGGAAGAAAUGCAGAUUUUCUAAUCUGUUUGACGGUACCAGAGGAAUAAGCACCGGCUAACUCCGUGCCAGCAGCCGCGGUAAUACGGAGGGUGCAAGCGUUAUCCGGAUUCACUGGGUUUAAAGGGUGCGUAGGUGGAGUGGUAAGUCAGUGGUGAAAUCUCCAAGCUUAACUUGGAAACUGCCGUUGAUACUAUCAUUCUUGAAUAUCGUGGAGGUAAGCGGAAUAUGUCAUGUAGCGGUGAAAUGCUUAGAUAUGACAUAGAACACCGAUUGCGAAGGCAGCUUGCUACACGAUCAUUGACACUGAGGCACGAAAGCGUGGGGAUCAAACAG
RNAcentral lists this ribosomal RNA (423 nucleotides) under uncultured bacterium. Its description in RNAcentral is "bacterial SSU rRNA". It matches the Rfam family "Bacterial small subunit ribosomal RNA", at positions 355 to 775 of the family's 1533-position model. The record is from RNAcentral.